Pomacea canaliculata is the source of this 412-nucleotide long non-coding RNA. RefSeq lists it as uncharacterized. The record is from RefSeq and is a predicted model, not a curated record. The transcript has 2 exons. NCBI's taxonomy places the organism in Eukaryota, Metazoa, Mollusca, Gastropoda, Architaenioglossa, Ampullariidae.
CCCCGGCUCCGCCUCUCCCCCCAAAAUGGAUGACGACCCAAAAUUAGACUGUCAGCUGGUGUAAAAUGGCGGCAUGACACACUCCAAGACUGGAAUUAAAACUCUUGGUAGGGUGACGGUUCCAGAAAGUGGACAAAAUAAUUUGAGGUCUGCGACGUUAGCGACCAGACAAGCAUCGCUGCUUCUGGCUGGUCUGUAAUUACCGGGCGUUAAACACUUCGUCUUCUUGUUUGAUGGCAAAGGUGAUUUACAGCCCCUUCCCGUGUCGCCAUUACCGACAUCGCCAGGGCAGCGAUGACCCUGUCUGACCUCUGGACGUCACAAUCCUCGGCCUCCACACCCUCCAUCCUUUGACUGGACAAGGCUGCUGAUGGAGAGAGCGUCACAAAGUCUUCACAAAGGUCGUGGGGGG